This 73-nucleotide transfer RNA is filed under the name Zootermopsis nevadensis. It matches the Rfam family "tRNA". Rfam says of the family: Transfer RNA (tRNA) molecules are approximately 80 nucleotides in length. Their secondary structure includes four short double-helical elements and three loops (D, anti-codon, and T loops). Further hydrogen bonds mediate the characteristic L-shaped molecular structure. tRNAs have two regions of fundamental functional importance: the anti-codon, which is responsible for specific mRNA codon recognition, and the 3' end, to which the tRNAs corresponding amino acid is attached (by aminoacyl-tRNA synthetases). tRNAs cope with the degeneracy of the genetic code in two manners: having more than one tRNA (with a specific anti-codon) for a particular amino acid; and 'wobble' base-pairing, i.e. permitting non-standard base-pairing at the 3rd anti-codon position. The record is from Rfam by way of RNAcentral. Lineage: Eukaryota; Metazoa; Arthropoda; Insecta; Blattodea; Termopsidae.
GCUACGGUGGUCUAGCGGUUAGAACGCUGGCCUUAUAAUCCUGGGGGCUCGGGUUCGAUUCCCGGUGGUGCCC